GAGGGUAUAGCUCAAGUGGUAGAGAGCGUGGAUGAGGUCCUGGGUUCAAUUCCCAGUAUCUCCU
This 64-nucleotide transfer RNA is filed under the name Camelus bactrianus (Bactrian camel). It matches the Rfam family "tRNA". From Rfam's summary of the family: Transfer RNA (tRNA) molecules are approximately 80 nucleotides in length. Their secondary structure includes four short double-helical elements and three loops (D, anti-codon, and T loops). Further hydrogen bonds mediate the characteristic L-shaped molecular structure. tRNAs have two regions of fundamental functional importance: the anti-codon, which is responsible for specific mRNA codon recognition, and the 3' end, to which the tRNAs corresponding amino acid is attached (by aminoacyl-tRNA synthetases). tRNAs cope with the degeneracy of the genetic code in two manners: having more than one tRNA (with a specific anti-codon) for a particular amino acid; and 'wobble' base-pairing, i.e. permitting non-standard base-pairing at the 3rd anti-codon position. The record is from Rfam by way of RNAcentral. Lineage: Eukaryota; Metazoa; Chordata; Mammalia; Artiodactyla; Camelidae. RNAcentral also lists the same sequence under 3 other names.